Molecule: long non-coding RNA, 766 nt
Organism: Antechinus flavipes (yellow-footed antechinus)
Lineage: Eukaryota; Metazoa; Chordata; Mammalia; Dasyuromorphia; Dasyuridae
Exons: 5
Source: RefSeq, a predicted model, not a curated record
CUGGGGCAGAGGCGCUGAGAUGGAGCCGAAGCUUCGGCGCCGGGGGAUCGACUCUGGGAUCUGCUCACUGGGAGAAACAAAGCAUCAGGGGCUGAUCCCAGGAGAAGAUGACAAUCUCUUUCUCUGAGGCAUUGUUGAGAAAUAUGAGACGACUACACCUGGCGUGUGCUGGGAUGUUGCCCAGGGAAAUUCGAGAUUGAGAUAGGAAUACAACCUGUUGGAUGAAGAUUAUGGCAGUGAGAAGGAAUAAUGUGAGACUGAGUCAACCCAGAGCUAAGAAUAUCCGAAGAGGAUAACCUUCAUGCUUCUUAAAGGUGAGGAAACUGAGGCAGAGAGUGAUUAAGUGUUUUGUUCUAAACAUCUUAAGGCUGGAUGCUGGGAGGAAUCAUCUUCUCAGAAGACUGCACAGAAUUUAAAGUUGGAAAGGCCACAGGGAAGACUAUUGGGGAGACAACUCCAGAUCAAUUUGCUGGUCACUGGGGAAGAGGAAAGCCCUGUAUGGAAGGAAGAGGAAGAAAGAGUCAAUUGUGUAAUACAGACAAUCUGGAUCUACAGGAGACCUUGGCUAGAAUUCUGGAUGUUAAGAGAAAGUCAGGAAGCUCUGCAUAUGGCUAACACUGAAAAGUAUCACACACAAAAUGAAGCAGAUUAUGGCUUUACGGGCAGAAACAACUGGUCAUCAGGGCAGAAGUCAUUUCCAAAUCAGCUGUCUGUGGAUAGUCCAGCCAUUCACUUGUUAAAUACCAAUUUAAAAUAAAAAUAAUGA